GCAAUGUCGCAAGUGAGGUAAUCUUCGCAAACAACCCAUGUAAUACAAUAAGGGAAAAGAUACAUAGUUGCCUUACAAUCGCCACUUCACACAAUUACAUGAAUAAAGCAUUACAUCAACCAGAUACAAUCAAGGUCCGACUACGGAACCCAAAAUAAAAGAAGACUACCCCAAAUGCUACACAGAUCCCCGAUCGUCCCAACUGGGCUCCACUACUGAUCAACUGGAAACGGAACAACAUAACGAACGCGAAUUCAUCGAGCUCCUCCUUGAGCUCAGUUGCGUCACCUGCACGGUUUCAUCGGCACCUGCAAACUGGUUUUGGAAGUAAUCUGUGAGUCACAGGGACUCAGCAAUCUCACACCCUCGCGAUCAAGACUAUUUAAGUUUAUAGGUAGGGUAAAAGGUAUGAGGUGGAGCUGCAGCAAGCGACUAGCAUAUAUGGUGGCUAACAUACGCAAAUGAGAGCGAGAAGAGAAGGCAAAGCACAUUCGAGAAUCUAUGAUCAAGAAGUGAUCCUAGAACAACCUACGUCAAACAUAACUCCAACACCGUGUUCACUUCCCGGACUCCGCCGAGAAGAGACCAUCACGGUUACACAUGCGGUUGAUGCAUUUUAAUUAAGAUCAACUUCAGGUUUUCUACAACCGGACAUUAACAAAUUCCCAUCUGCCCAUAACCGCGGGCACGGCUUUCGAAAGUUCAAAUCCCUGCAGGGGUGUGCCAACUUAGCCCAUCACAAGCUCUCACGGUCAACGAAGUAUAUUCCUUCUCCCAAGACAAUCCGAUCAGACUCGGCAUCCCGGUUACAGGACAUCCUCCACAAUGGUAAAACAAGUCCAGCAAGACCACCCGAUGCGCCGACAUCCCGAUAGGAGCUGCACAUAUCUCGUUCUCAGGCAAGACCGGAUAAGCAAUCCGUACAACUAAAACCAGCCCUCGAGUUUCCCCGAGGUGGCACUGCAAGGGGCUCUAGUUUGGACCAACACUUAGACAAGCAUUGGCCUGGGGGGGGGGGGUUAAAAUAAAGAUGACCCUCGGGAUGCGCGACUCCCAAGGGAAAAAGGCUAGGUGGUGAAUGGUAAAACCAAGGUUGGGCCUUGCUGGAGGAGUUUUAUUCAAAGCGAACUGUCAAGGGGUUCCCAUUAUAACCCAACCGUGUAAGGAACGCAAAAUCCGGAAACAUAACACCGAUAUGACGGAAACUAGGGCGGCAAGAGUGGAACAAAACACCAGGCAUAAGGCCGAGCCUUCCACCCUUUACAAAGUAUAUAGAUGCAUUAAUUAAAUAAGAGAUAUUGUGAUAUCCCAACAAAAUAUCCAUGUUCCAACCAGGAACAAACUCCAAUCUUCACCUGCAACUACAACGCUAUAAGAGGGGCUGAGCAAAGCGGUAACAUAGCCAAACAACGGUUUGCUAGGACAAGAUGGGUUAGAGGCUUGGCUUAACAAUAUGGGAGGCAUGAUAAGCAAGAGGUAGGUAUCGCAUCAUAGGCAUAGCAAAAGAGCGAGCAACUAGCAAGCAAAGAUAUAAGUGAUUUCGAGGGUAUGGUCAUCUUGCCUGAGAUCCCGAAAGGAAGAAGAACGAGUCCAUGAAGAAGAAAAACGGACGUAGUCGAACGAAUCCUCACAACACGACGUUACCGGAUUACCGAGAAGAAGUACACCGGAAAAAAAGCAAACAACGCAGUAAACAAUCAUCACAUAAGCAUGGCACGAUGCGCAAACAAGUAUGAUGCAUGUCCGGUUUAAUGAGGCAUGGUAUGGCAAAGUGCACAAACAACCCUACAAAUUAAGUGGGGCUCAAUAUGCAACUCCGUUGCAUAUUGACGAAACACCACAUGACUUAUUUAGUUCGAUCUCAUUUAUGUACUCAACAAUAUUAAAUGUUGUUAGCAUGGCAAGAGUGAAGCAUAAAGAAACUACCCAUCUAGGCAAGUUUAAAUGAGGCCGGAACAACAAAACAAUAAGUCUGAAAACUCCUCAUGUGCAUAUUUUAGGUUUGGUACUGUUCUGCCCUAAACACAAUUUUAGAGUUGUUAAACAUGCAAAUUAAGGCCACCAUGUUAAACUAGGCAUUUUUCUACCCCAUUUACAUAUAAAGUUUAUUAAAAUCCGAGCUACGGUUAUUUAGUUAUGAAUUAAAGCAUUUUAACAUGGCAUAUGGCAAAAAUACACAAACAACAUUUUAAACAUUUUUAACAUGGAUGAAAGUUGGAUAUUAUUAAACUAGAUGAAAUUCUAAGCAAGUUUCAUAUUUGGAGUUUUAACAUGUGAUGCAUAGUUCAAGAGUUAUUAAAUGCAUGAAGUACAAGGGGUUUUCUGUAAAACGGGCAAACUCUGGAUAAUAGCUAAAAUUCGCAGACAGGGAAAAACACUAUAUGGGCCGAAACUGAGACAAGCCCAACAGAAAAAAACAAAAGGUGGGGCGCUGUGGGUGGCCUCACCCAUGGGCUUCGGCCCGUUUGAGGAGGAGGGGUUAGGCCGGCAGGGGCGUUGCGCUGGGCCGGUUUGGGAUCGAGGCGUGGCUGCGGUCCACGCGCGGGUCAAUGGGCUCGGCCAGUUCGAGAACUGCUCGACGCAGCGAGAUGCAGAGGCGAGGAGCGGCAACGGGAGCUCGCCGGACUCGGGCGAACGGCGACCGGAGUGAGCGGAGGUCAGGGGACGACGAAUCCACGCCGGAGCUGGGCGGAUCCGGGCCCCGGGGAUCCCAUCCUCGGCGAUGGACGGAGCUCGGGGAGGCGACACCCCAUGGCGGCGGCUGGAGCCUGCGGAAGAGAGAGAUAACAUGAGGGGGGAAGAAGAGGGAGAAAACAGAGGCGGGAGGAGAGGAUACAGGGCGGCGGCUGCUCAUCUUCGGUGGGGUUCCGAUCGCCGGCGUCGGCUGGACAACAAGGCAGGGGACCUGCUGGUCCAGCGGCGUCGUCGUGGUGGUAGAGGCCGCCGACGGCGUUGUGGAUCAAGGUGCAGGAAGGGGAACGGGGCGCUCGACUGCUGCUGCUGCUUUGCGGGCGUGCGGAUGCGAGGGGCUGCGAGCGCUGACCGUCUCCGCGAGCGCGAAGGCGAGGAAGAAGGAUUCAUGGGGAUCGGGAGGAGGAGCGGGGUUGGAUAGGCACGGAAACAGAGGAGGGAUUUUGGAUCGGGGAGGAUCCCGAUGAGGAGGAGACAGGAAGAGUGGCGGCGCCCGGGAGGAUCCCUAGAAAUUAGGGAUUUGUCUGAUUUGGGUAGGGGUUGGACUAUAUAUAUAUAUGGAAAAGAAGGGAGUUGGAUCAUCCGAUCAAAAUCCAACGGUCGAGAAUAGAUAGGCUAGGAAAGUCUAAAUAAGAAACGGAGACGUUUUGUAGAUGUUUGGGGAUGAUCCGGACACAACGGUGGCGACAGUCCGGGUUGGGUUUGGGACAACUUUCGGACGCACGCGCGAGGAGGGCCGCGGGCUGACGAGAGAGGUUAGGUUGGGUCUGGCGGAUUGUGAAGAGCGAGUUGGUCUGAGAGAAGAGGGGAGAGAUGCAGCCCGACACGGUUUCCGGAGACUGAAAACGUCUGACGUUAGACCGGCUAUACUGCCGCUAUAGUUAUUCGUUGGGGCAUCAAACGAUCUCCGAAUGCAUGAAACUUGACAGGCGGUCUAUCUACACUAUAAUAGGACCACACGCCAACUCUCAUCCCAUUCCGAGAACAUUUUCCGGUCACUUAUAAAAUACUAUUUCGGACAUGCCGCGGGCGCGUGCAAGUGUGUCUGGGCUCAGAACGGACAACGGACGGAACUGGGAGACCCGGACUAAUGCAAGUUUUAAAACAUGAUGAUGCAAUGCACAUGAUGACAUGAUAAGAUGCAACACGCAAGCAAAUGACAUGACAACGUCAGCGAAUAACUGGAAGACACCUGGCAUAUCGGUCUCGGGGCGUCACAACACUCCACCACUACGAGAGGAUCUCGUCCCGAGAUCUAGAAUGGCACCGGAGGGAAAAAACGAAAGAGAAAGAGAAGAGGUAAAACUAAGUUGCUUCUUUGACAAACGAGUGAAACCAAAGAACCUUGAAAAGGUUAAGCCAUUUCGAGAAAAAAAAUACAACGGAGAUGAGCGAAGUUGAAAGCACUCCCUUAGGAAAGAGGAACGAGGAAGAACAAAGUUGAAAGCACUCCGGUAGGGAAGAGUAAUAAGGACGAACAAAUUCGAACAACACUCCAGUUGAAAAGAGAUGCAAAGCUUGAAUAGGCGAAAAGAACUUGAGCAAAGGGGCACAAUACUCCGGUUAAAACAAGAUGGGGAAGGAAUAAGAAUGAUAUAAUUUGGACAGCACUCCGCCUGUAAAUGGAAGGAAUUGGACAUGAUCUUGACAAAACAAGAUGAUGGGUCGAAGAGAGCAGCAUCACAAUGCCUCCGGAACAAAUGAAAGAAUGCAAUAAAAAGAACAGAGAAGAAAACAACAUGUUCUAACUCAAAUGAAUUUGAGAGAGCAUCCUUAAAAAGAAGGAUUUAACAGAGUUGUUGGGAAAUCAACAACGAAAAGAACAGGCUUGUUGAGGGCUUAUGGAAAACAUCUCAAGAACUUGAGGUGAAAACCUGCCAUAAAUGGAAACAAGAUUGGAUUGAUAUGAACAAGGAGACAAGAAACUUAUUUCACCGGGAGGAUAAAUGAAGAACUUGGGUCAUUUAUAAGCACCAUAGAUAGCAACAAUCCUUUUGGGAAGGCUUUAGGUGAAAUAUAACCCAAGAUAAUUCCAACGAAGAGGUUGGUGGAUUUAAAAUAUCUCAUUGUUAACAACAUGUGAAUCAUGAAACAUGAACUCAAAUUAUCAAGAAUGACAUAAUACCACCUCCAAUGAUAUGGUAGAAAGAAUUGCACUCCGGAUUGCACGAAGAAGAAUACUUGAGCUCCUUAGAAAAGAAUGUUGAUGAACACUUCGAGAAGGAAAUUAAAUCCUUGAUGAAACCAUCAUGUAGAACCUUCAUGAAGAACUUCGGUAACAAAAGGAUGAUCAAGCGGAAGGAAAGAGAAGUUGAAAACACAAGGUGAAUCCUUGCAAUGAUUAGAUGGAUCUUCGCGACGAGAUAAAAUGGAAACUUGGAACUGCGGAAAAGAAAGAUAAAGCAUCUUGAACCGAGAAUGUGAUAUGAAGAACCUCCAGAAUAAGGAAUUGAAUUUACUCGAUGAAACAAGAAUAAUAAUUACAUUAUGCUUAUCCUUCACCAAUUAAAUUGAUGACAAUCAACGGAUUUGACAUAUUACUUAUUCUCAUAGAAAAGAUUAAGAGAGAUAUAACAUAAACUUGGGAAGGUCUUCAAUGAACCAUCGGUAGGAUUGAAACACCGAAUAAAUUGAUAUGAUCACCAUGGAAGAGAAUCUUGAGCAAACCACCGUAAGGAUUGAAAAUGAACGAAGUAAAGAAAAAGAAUCACCGGAAAGAAUUAGCAAAUGGACGAAGGAGCAUGCUAGGAUUUAGAUACAUGAGACCGAAGGGGUCACGAGCUGAUUAGAGGUCACUUGAAUGAUGCACCGGUAAGAUUUAGAUAACGAGAGCUGAAAGCUGAGAAUAAAUAAUUCUGAGAUGAUGGGCUCCGGAGAAUCAAACUGAAAAGACUCCUGAAUUGCACCGGAUGGGUGAAAAGAAUUCUCACAAUCGAAAAUAAUUAUGAGAGGAUGGCAACAAGCUAGCACCAUGAGUCUUGAAGAGAAUCGAGCCAGAUAUGGAGAAAAAAUAAAUCUUCUUCGGUCUUCAAAUGUUGAGAAUGACGACGAGAAACACCACGAAGAAUUAUUGAGGCACACUGGAAUGAAGAAUGGAAAGGUUGAGCCAACGAUGAAAGAAUUUUGAUAGAUCUUGGAGAAAGACAUUUGACUGAUGACAAUUCAUUCUUACGUCAAACUUUGAAAAGAAUUUAGUAUAGCUCCGAGAAAAUUAGAAGAGUCAGGUAAGAUCCUGGGAAAAGACCUGUGGGUUAGGGCCCACUCAAAAGAAACACCGUUGAACGAUUACUUGAAAAGAAGAUUACACCGGUUGAGUUAAACGGCUUGAAUGAGAUAACCACCUCAAAAUAGGUUUAACGGAUCUUGACAGAACUCCCGAACAAAUGAAUAGCGAGAAGUAAAUGAUUAUGAGAUGCACCGGCAUGAGAAGGUAUUUGAAACGAGGAAAAGGAUAUGAUCGGCAAAGCUUGAAUUGAAUCCACCGGAGGAGAAAAAGGAAUGACGAAUGACGAACUAGAAACUCCGUUAGAAUCUUCAUGAGAAACACCGGGUAAGAACAUUGAAAGGAAAGAAAGAAGAGACUUCACAUCCAUAAGAUGGAUACUUGAUAAAGAAAUCCGAGUCCUUGAAGAAAAAGGGUGGGAGGGUGGGAAAACAAAGGAAACUUGGAACGGAUGAAGCAAACACUGUUGAGAAGAACUGAUAAUCGAUCUUGCGAAUGUUGAAGUGAUCGGAUCCACUUGAAGAGAGACACACCGGAUGAAAAUGAUUGACAUGACAAUCUCGAUUAUCAUGAAGGAUUGAUAUUCACGUAGGAGUAUGAGAACACCGCUUGGGGAAGGUAUGGAAUCAACAUUUGACUUCGAAGCAACUCGAAUACCACAACUCAAAACAAAACAAAAGAUUGGCUUGUAGAAUAAGCAAGAACAAACAUAUGAUAGAGAUUUCGUCCGAAGUUUUCGUGGUGGGGCCUACACGGGCUCGAUCGUACAACACCAUCAUGUACAAGGCAGUGCACAUGACAUACGAAGCGUCCCCGAGUCGGCAUAGCCAAGGACUCUUUUAAGACACAAUGAGACCACUGUAAAACCAACCAUGGAUAGGCGGACCACUAGACGUCGAACCCCAAUUUCAUAUCAUACAUCUGUCGGAAAGAUAUCCUAGGAGCUACUUGAAUUCCCACUUAUAAACUCCCGAAACUCUCCGGUUGUGCAAUCAGGUGUUGGGGAUACAAGGGAAGCAUAAUAUCUCACCCAAAACUAGCAAAUCCUACAUCCAGCUGUAUCCAUCCUUCAACACAUAACCAAGAAAUCUUCGGAAAUCGUUUACCUCAACCUUCGAAAAGCAUCCGUUAUACGAGUUAUGGCAAUACUCCCGAACUCCCGCCCCAGUAGGGUGGCGUCGAGGUUAUCUCACAAACAACUGCAUAAAAGAGAUUUUCGAUGUCGGCGAAACUCAGGUAUUCGAGAAUCUCAACGAUAAAAUUGUGACGGCAACACCUCGGAGCUCAACUCCCCGGGACACUGCCACAACCCCUAAAUGUCAGGAGGCACCAAGAACAAUGUUCUCGUCACAAAUCGAUCGGAACGAUUCCAAGAUACUCGCGUGAUCCAAAAAAAAUUUAGUGACAUUUGAGAAGAGAAGAGUCAAAACUCUACGUCAGGAUGCCUCACCAGAGCGACGAAGGGACUCAGGAGUAAAAAGAAUUCCUAACUCUCCGAUAUAUAUAAUCCUAAAUGACUCAAAACAUUUUUUCUAAACUCAACAACGCCAACGAUUCGUUCAAGCAGGGGGCUCCUAAGGUCGGGGAAGGCUCUGAUACCAACUUGUAACGCCCUCGAUGCGGCUAUAUCUCCCACGUGUCGAAGCACGACUUAGAGGCAUAACCGCAUUGAAAGCAAUGUCACAAGUGAGGUAAUCUUCGCAAACAACCCAUGUAAUACAAUAAGGGAAAAGAUACAUAGUUGGCUUACAAUCACGACUUCACACAAUUACAUGAAUGAAGCAUUACAUCAACCAGAUACAAUCAAGGUCCGACUACGGAACCCCAAAUAAAAAAAGACUACCCCAAAUGCUACACAGAUCCCCGAUCGUCCCAACUGGGCUCCACUACUGAUCAACUGGAAACGGAACAACAUAACGAACGCGAAUCUCAUCGAGCUCCUCCUUGAGCUCAGUUGCGUCACCUGCACGGUUUCAUCGGCACCUGCAAACUGGUUUUGGAAGUAAU
This 7921-nucleotide long non-coding RNA is filed under the name Triticum aestivum (bread wheat). RNAcentral's name for it is "long non-coding RNA (TAES_LNC005593)". The record is from RNAcentral. Lineage: Eukaryota; Viridiplantae; Streptophyta; Magnoliopsida; Poales; Poaceae.